AUACGGAGGAUCCGAGCGUUAUCCGGAUUUAUUGGGUUUAAAGGGUGCGCAGGCGGGAGAUUAAGUCGGCGGUGACAUUUUUCGGGUCAACUGUAAAAGUGGCUUAGAAAACGGUUUCCUUUUGUGUAGAUGAAGUAGGGGGAAAUUGUGGGGUUGGGGGGAAAUGCAUAGAUAUCACGAGGAAAUCCGAUUGCGCAGGCAGCUUACUAAACUACUACUGACGCUCAGGCACGAAGGCGUGGGGAUCAAACAGGAUUAGAUACCCUGGUAGUCCACGCAGUAAACGAUGAUUACUAGCUGUUUGCGAUACAAUGUAAGCGGCUGAGCGAAAGCGUUAAGUAAUCCACCUGGGGAGUACGUUCGCAAGAAUGAAACUCAAAUGAAUUGACGGGG
RNAcentral lists this ribosomal RNA (393 nucleotides) under uncultured bacterium. Its description in RNAcentral is "partial 16S ribosomal RNA". It matches the Rfam family "Bacterial small subunit ribosomal RNA", at positions 523 to 918 of the family's 1533-position model. The record is from RNAcentral.